GAUGAACGCUGGCGGCGUGCCUAAUACAUGCAAGUCGAGCGAACGGACGCGAAGCUUGCUUCUCUGAUGUUAGCGGCGGACGGGUGAGUAACACGUGGAUAACCUACCUAUAAGACUGGGAUAACUUCGGGAAACCGGAGCUAAUACCGGAUAAUAUUUUGAACCGCAUGGUUCAAAGGUGAAAGACGGUCUUGCUGUCACUUAUCGAUGGAUCUGCGCUGCAUUAGCUAGUUGGUAAGGUAACGGCUUACCAAGGCAACGAUGCAUAGCCGACCUGAGAGGGGGAUCGGCCACACGGGAACUGAGACGCGGACCAGACGCCUACGGGAGGCAGCAGUAGCGAAUCGGCCGCAAUGGGCGAAAGCCUGACGAAGCAACGCCGCGUGAGUGAUGAAGGUCUUCGGAGCGUAAAACUCGGUUAUUAGGGAAGAACAUAUGUGUAAGUAACUGAGCACAUCUUGACGGUACCUAAUCAGAAAGCAACGGCUAACUACGUG
Molecule: ribosomal RNA, 497 nt
Filed under: uncultured bacterium
Lineage: Bacteria
Description: partial 16S ribosomal RNA
Rfam family: Bacterial small subunit ribosomal RNA
Source: RNAcentral